AUUGAACGCUGGCGGCAGGCCUAACACAUGCAAGUCGAACGGUAACAGGGAUCAGCUUGCUGAUUCGCUGACGAGUGGCGGACGGGUGAGUAAUGUCUGGGAAACUGCCUGAUGGAGGGGGAUAACUACUGGAAACGGUAGCUAAUACCGCAUAACGUCGCAAGACCAAAGAGGGGGACCUUCGGGCCUCUUGCCAUCGGAUGUGCCCAGAUGGGAUUAGCUAGUAGGUGGGGUAACGGCUCACCUAGGCGACGAUCCCUAGCUGGUCUGAGAGGAUGACCAGCCACACUGAAACUGAGACACGGUCCAGACUCCUACGGGAGGCAGCAGUGGGGAAUAUUGCACAAUGGGCGCAAGCCUGAUGCAGCCAUGCCGCGUGUAUGAAGAAGGCCUUCGGGUUGUAAAGUACUUUCAGCGGGGAGGAAGGGAGUAAAGUUAAUACCUUUGCUCAUUGACGUUACCCGCAGAAGAAACACCGGCUAACUCCGU
RNAcentral lists this ribosomal RNA (489 nucleotides) under uncultured bacterium. RNAcentral describes it as "partial 16S ribosomal RNA". It matches the Rfam family "Bacterial small subunit ribosomal RNA", at positions 30 to 506 of the family's 1533-position model. The record is from RNAcentral.